GUUGGGAUGGCUGAGUGCUCUAAAACACUGCCUUCAGAUUGCAGUCUCCCCAAGAGGUGUGGGUUUGAAUCCCACUUCUGAUA
Non-coding RNA from Pelobates cultripes (western spadefoot toad), 83 nucleotides. The record is from the annotation of a GenBank genome assembly. Lineage: Eukaryota; Metazoa; Chordata; Amphibia; Anura; Pelobatidae.